This 279-nucleotide ribosomal RNA is filed under the name uncultured bacterium. RNAcentral's name for it is "partial 16S ribosomal RNA". It matches the Rfam family "Bacterial small subunit ribosomal RNA", at positions 28 to 303 of the family's 1533-position model. The record is from RNAcentral.
GAUGAACGCUAGCGGGAGGCUUAAUACAUGCAAGUCGAGCGGCAAGUUUUGAUAGCAAUAUUGGAACCUUAGAGCGGCGCACGGGUGAGUAACGCGUACAUGACCUGCCCUAUACUGGGGGAUAGUCUUGGGAAACUGAGAAUAAUCCCGCAUGUGAUUAGAAUGCUGCAUGGCAAAUUAUUAAAGCUGAGGCGGUAUAGGGAUGGGUGUGCGUCUGAUUAGCUAGUUGGUAGUGUAACGGACUACCAAGGCGAUGAUCAGUAGGGGCUGAGAGCGUGA